UUUGAGCAGACAGAUCUAUAUGAAAUCGACUUUGAAAUAGCCUUCUGUGAGGCUAAGUUUAGUUAUCUCGUGGAUGCUUUGGAUGCACCAUGCUUCAGAUGUUAAUGACCCUGGGUUAAGCUUCGAGGAGACCUGAGAGAAAGGAGUGCACUUUUGAGGCCCCGUGGGGGUGGCAUCUGCGGAAGGGACGGGCGCUCCCUGCGGACCAGAGCUUGGGGUUUCUUCACCACACAGGUCUGCUUUCUCCCAAAAUGGCGGCUCUGUCUCCGGAGCGCAGGUCCCUGCAGGGAUUCGCGGGGGAAUGGAGAAGUCCAGCCCACUCUACACGCUGUCACUGGGCCCCCAACAAAGCCCUGCCCCUCUGGAAGCUGGGCGCUUGGUUUGGGGCCAGUGCAGCCCCUCUCAGUCCCCGCUGGCCCGGAGGCCCGGAUGCUGAAAUGAAAAACUUGUCAGGAAAUUCGCCCCUGUGGAUUCCAGGUUAAUUCCUGUCCACGCUCGGCUCAAACGCUUGGUAAAGUAAUUUUAUUUUACCUCACAGAUCUAUCGAACCCUGGUUUCAUCUCUGCUUCUAUGGAAGCUGCUAUGAGUGACCGAAACAAUGGUCAAACGAUCGGGGCAAAGACAAAGGCCCAAAUGGGUGUUCUUAGGCAGCACCAGGUUGGCCGCCGGCAGAGAUGAGUCCUUUGUAACUGCGCCUCGGGGACCUCGCCUUCCACCAUCCAGACUCCUUUUUCUCCUCAUACGCCGCAGUGUGGGACUUUGUUAAACUUCCACUGAAACCGGAACUUCCUACAGACGGUCUCAACUGCUCGUGGAAGUGUGCUCCGGUGACACUAGCAGGAGGAUCAUGGAAGAUUCGAGGCCAGCCUGGGCUUCAUGUGGCAAGAGGAGCACCUGACUCAGAGAGGCGAGUCCACGGUUUCCCCAGAAGAACACACCCUGCAGGAGCAGGGUCCAGGCCCAGCAAAAGCUGCCUCCUAAGCUUUGACCACCACCCAGCCAGCACCCACCAGGCAGCAAAACAAUGUGUGGCUCCCUGAAUUCUCCGAGGAUCCCGAUGCUGCUGCCUGGGGACUGCGCCUCCCGGUUACUUCCUAGGGCCACCAGGGUCUCACUGUGUAACCCAGGCUGGCCUUGAACUUGGGGCGACCCUCCUGCCUCAGCCUACUGCGUGCUGGGAUUACAGGUGUGUACCACCACACCUGGGUUUCAUUAGUCAUUUUAAGAUUUGGUGCUACAUGGGUUGAUGAGGACUCUGUUACCUAUUGUGAGAUACAAAUAACUCCCAAGAACCCACCCCAGGCACUCCAGGAUAUUACCCACUGAAUACUCUCUGGAGCUGAUGGAAGCCGUUGGAGUCCAUAGGACAACGCAACAGCCAGGCAAGCAGUGGCCAGGUCUUGAAGCUCUUGGAAGAACUGAAAGUUGAGCCAGCUCCUCAAAGGCAGAUACAACAUCAGGAGUUCCAGAAGGGGAGUGAUGUGGGCCGAGACUGGAGCGGAAACUGAGCUGGAAGACAAAGGCAGGAGAGAGACUGGGCAGGGUCACCAAAAGAGGCCUGCAAGUCAGCCAGGGGACUUCAGCUGUGGCAGGGAUGGGAAAGCAGAGCUCUGGAGACUUUCAGCUGUAAAGUGGUGAGAGGGAAAUGUGUUUAAAGAGCUGGGCAUGUAGUGUACGCCUGUACUCCCAGCACCUAGGAGGCUGAGGCAGGAGGAUCACUAUGAGUUCAAAGCCAGCCUGGGCUACAUAGUGAGUUCAAGGCUGGCCUGAGUUACAUAGUGAGACCUUGUCUCAAAAAAAACAAAGAAUGAAAGAAGGAAGAAAAGGAGGAAGGAAAACAGGAAGGCAAGAAAAAUUCCAUUGAUUCGGCAGGGAGGAAUUCUAAGGGAGAUAGAAAGGUGCUCCUUGGGUGAUUGCUUCUUGUUGUUUUAAUUUUUAUGAGCACGUUUGCAGCCCAUAAGGAGCAUUCGUGGCUGGAGUCUGAUUUGGUUUCACUUCCCCUUCCACCCGCUCCUGCUGUCCCCAGCCCCCUGCCCUGGGCAGAUCUGCCUGUGCUUUAUGGACCCUGGCUCUCACGCCUGGCCAUUUUGCCAACGUGUGAACUGUCUCAUUCAAACAGCGAACCUAACGUCUUAGGUUCAUUCAACAUAACAGUGUUUCAGCCUUGGAUAUGAAAACGCUCUGUGCGGUUUCCCAGCCGCUCCCACUGCUUCAGGACAGGAGGCCGUGAGUGUGUGGGGCCCAGCUUUUCCCAGGGCCCGGCUGACUCCGAGCCGGGCGAUCACCACCCUGGCAGACAGCAGAUGGAUGUGGAGUCAGCCUGGGCGGCUGGGGGAAGUCACAGGGCCCAAGGGACUCAGUGAGGACCCAGCACAGUGGCCCUGGAGACGUCCACAGUGAGUCUGCCUGAGGGGAACCGGAAGAAAGAAGGGCCAGCUGGGCUGGAGCAGGGGCCGGUGCAGAGGCUGGAGGAGGCAGCACUGGGCCGAGGCUGCUGGCACUUCCUGAGGGCCCCACCUCCCUGCCAGGGGUCUUGGUGACAUUAACACCCUCAGCGCCUCCAUGUCCUCUGUUGUCAAUCUCCUCAUCCUAUCCUAUAUUCGUCUCAGUGUCCAUGGCGUCGGCCCACACCCUCCGCAGACACCUGAUUCCAGGUGCCUCGAGCCUCGAAUAGCGUGGCCUAGUAGUCCAAGCUGGUCUUGAACUCACUAUGUAGCCCAGGGUGGCCUGGAACUUGUAGCAGUCCUCCUGCCUCUGCCUCCCGAGUGCUGGGAUUAUAGGCCUGCACCACCACACCUGGUAGGUGGAGUAUUUUCAUGUGAGCUCCAAACACCUGCCCUCUCAUGUGCUUUAAAUCACCUCCAGCCCCUAAUGGCGGGACACCAUACUGAGGGCUGGUACCCUCUGUUGUGUAAGGAAUAAUCAAGGAAAACGCACUGUGCAGUUCAGUAGGAUGCAGGGCUUUUCACAUACUUUCCAUCUGCAGCUGGCUGAACUGAAGGUCCUGCAUUCCCAGGUGGGAGUGCCCCCUGACGGCACCUGUGCUGUGCGCGGCCAUGCCUUGCGGUCAAGGUCCCCUGAAUGUGCUCGGCGCCCCCAUCAUCUUGAGGCUGGACCUCUCUGCUCUGAGGACCCGUUCGUUCCCAGGCUUCCUCCAGCCGAGCCCAGCCUCCCUUCACCCAGUUCCUAGCCCAGGCACCUCCCUCUGCCUGGCCCAGGGCUUCACUACCGAUUCCCACUGUGACUGCCACACUGCGCUUAAGCAUUUGUGGUCGAUGAUGCUUGUUUCAUUCCUCCUAAGCCCUUCAGACUUCCAAGCCUGCUCGUCCUGACCCUGAGCCUGCUCCCCUCUUUCUCAUCUCAGGGUGGGCAACCCAGCGGUGAGUCACCCUUACCCAGAGCCCAGGAGGCCUCUGGACUCCUUUCUCUGCUCACAUUCAGAUGGUGGACAACUCUGGUAGGCUGAAGCAGGAAGAUCUCAAAUUCAAGCCCAACCUGGACAACUUAGCAAGCCCUCCUCACAAAAUCAACAGUAAGAAAAGGGCUGGGGAUAUAACUCAGUGGGAGGUGCCUAGGUCAUUCCCAGUACUGCGGCACACAAACAGAAAGUGGCUAAGUCCCAUUAAUUGUAUCAACUUCACUUCUCUUAGUUUCCUCUCCAUAUCCGAAUUUUUCUUUGGUUCUUUUUUGAAACAGGAUCUCACUAUGUAGCCCAGGCUGGCUUUAAACUCGAAGCAAAUCCUCCUGCCUCAGCCUCCCUAAUGCUGGGAUUGCAGGCGUGUGCACCACCACAUCAGCUUCUGAGUCCAUCUUUAUGGCUAAUAUCGAAAUCCCAGAGGCAGGGUAUAUAGUAAGGAAAGCUCACAGUUUCAGAGGCUGGAGGCCCACAUAGCCUGUGGAAGCUCUGGUGGGGCCCUGGGCUACGUCACAUCCCGGAGUCAGGCACAGAGAGGAGGCUGCUGGGUCCUGCGGUCCCUUCUGAGGACUGGUCUGUCCUGACCUCAUGGUCUCCCACAAGACCCUGCCUCUAGAGCUGGGCGUGUUGGCACAUGCCUGUAAUCCCAGCACUCGGGAGGCUGAGGCAGGAGGAUUGCUGCAAGUUUGAGGUCAGCCAGGACUACAUAGUGAGUUCAGUGCCAGCCUGAACUACAAAGGGAGACCCUGUCUCACCCCCCCCCCCAAAAAAAGACCCCACCUCUUAAAGAGGCCACCACCUACAGUAGUGCCCACCUGAGGACCAAGGCUUCAGACAUGGCCUUUGAGGGGGCAUACAUAGGACACCCAAACCUAGCACCCAAAACCUCAAUCCUGUUUUGUGAAGGAAGUGUCCUGGAUCCUUUUCCAGGUUCCUCUCUGCCCUGGUGCUCAGGAUCUAAGGUUCCCUUAUACUUUGUUCCAGGAGCCGGUACUCAUCUGUCUCUCACUUUCUGUUUCUCCUAUUUUUUCCUUCUUCUUGCCUAUGAAUCAGCUCUUUCUUCCCUACUGAAAUGAAACAAAGUAGCUGGGGUGAUGGUGCAAGCUUAUGAUCCCAGGGCUCUGGGAGGCUGAGGCAGAUCUCAAGUUGGAGCACACCCUAGGCAAUUUAGCAACUUAGCAAGACCCUGUAUUAAAAAUUUUAAAAAUUUAAAGGGC
Molecule: non-coding RNA, 4632 nt
Organism: Heterocephalus glaber (naked mole-rat)
Lineage: Eukaryota; Metazoa; Chordata; Mammalia; Rodentia; Bathyergidae
Source: RefSeq, a predicted model, not a curated record